UCCCUUAGAUGUUCUGGGCCGCACGCGUGCUACACUGAGUGGAUCAGCGGGUCAGGUUGCGCGAAAGCGUUUCCUAAUCUUUAAAUCCGCUCGUGAUGGGGAUUGACGGUUGCAAUUUUCUGUCAUGAACGAGGAAUACCUUGUAAGCGCGGGUCAUCAUCCCGCGCUGAAUACGUCCCUGCCCUUUGUACACACCGCCCGUCGCUCCUACCGAUUGAGUGGUCCGGUGAGGCUUUGGGAUCUGAGCGGAAAGAGCGUUUCGCUGUUUCUGCUCGGAAAACUCAGUCGAACCUUAUCAUUUAGAGGAAGGAGAAGUCGUAACA
This 323-nucleotide ribosomal RNA is filed under the name uncultured eukaryote. RNAcentral's name for it is "partial 18S ribosomal RNA". It matches the Rfam family "Eukaryotic small subunit ribosomal RNA", at positions 1469 to 1796 of the family's 1831-position model. The record is from RNAcentral.